AUGGGUGAUGACUCGAUCGAUACCGCGACUUGGGACAAGCUGGGGAUCAAGGACAAGGAGCCCGAGAAUGGACCUUCCGCCGGGGAGGCGGCAAAGGACCAGGAGGAGCGUCAAGGUGUUGUGGGCAGCAAUGAAACGGGCUUCGAUCAAUACGGCUCCAACCUGUCGCUCGGCAUCGACAUCGACAAGGGCGUCUCUGCUUCCUGUGUCUCGGAGGGGCGCUCGUUGCUCGUCUCCCCUGCGGCUGCGGGGAUGGGUGGGGCACGCGUGGUGGUGCGAUCUCCUCCGCCAGCGCUUGGUCAAGGUGGCGGUGGGAUUCGGUCCCACAAGAAGACGGCGGGACGCAAGGCAACCCCGGUGGCGCCGGAUGAUAUGCUAACAUUGACAGGUCCACAACGGGCAUUAGUUCCGCCGGAUAAUAUUUACUUUGAGUUCAAUAUGAGGGUGAAGGGUGAUGCCAGCGACGAAGAUUUUAGCAAAGGUGUAAUACAGCUCCAUGUCGUCCCCUAUGACCCUGAACCAAUCACAAGGGUGCUUAGUAGUUGGCUGAGCAGAGUGGAGUUGGUGCUCGCACCUGUUGAUGGUCCAGUGGCAGCUAGCCUUGAAGUCAAGAUUUUGAAAGGAGCACCACCUUUGAUUGACAAAAUAUGUGCUGGGACUAGUGAAGACCCUGAGACUCAGAUGAUUGUGUAUGAUAGUAGAGAGAUGAAGAGCGGUUCCUCUGUUGUGUUAAGUCGUAACUUGGUAGCUGUCCCUGACCCGGAUGAUGAAGAAGAUGAAAUUAUUGCCCAUGUUCGCUUCCUUGAUGAUGGCGAUGAUGUCGAUGACGAGGAUGCAGGCACCUUGGUCAGCGUAGCAUACCCUGCUGAAGAGCAAGUCUGCAGUCACGGCGCCUGGGAGCUGCAAGUGAACGUUGCCUGGACUGCCAUCCUGUGCAAGCCGAGGGCAAAAUAUAUCAUGAGAAGAGGGAGGAGUACGCCCAGGGCUUUUACUUGCCCUCAGUAUGAGCCUCUCUUCUGA
This 1020-nucleotide ribosomal RNA is filed under the name Triticum aestivum (bread wheat). RNAcentral's name for it is "partial small subunit ribosomal RNA". The record is from RNAcentral. Lineage: Eukaryota; Viridiplantae; Streptophyta; Magnoliopsida; Poales; Poaceae.